UACCUGCAGCUCAAGUGGUGGCCGCUAUUAUUGGGCCUAAAACGUUCGUAGCCGGCUGAGUAAAUGCUUGGGUAAAUCGUGCCGCUUAACGGUACGAAUUCCGGGUAGACUGCUCAGCUUGAGACCGGGAGAAGCUAGAGGUACUCCUGGGGUAGAGGUGAAAUUCUGUAAUCCUGGGGGGACCACCAGUGGCGAAGGCGUCUAGCUAGAACGGGUCUGACGGUGAGGGACGAAACCCUGGGGCGCAAACCGGAUUAGAUACCCGGGUAGUCCAGGGCGCAAACGCCGCUUGCUUGAUGUUAGCUGGGCUCCGGGCUCAGCUAGUGUCGGAGAGAAGUUGUUAAGCAAGCCGCCUGGGAAGUACGAUCGCAAGAUUGAAACUUAAAGGAAUUGGCGGGGAGCACAGCAACAGGUGGAGCGUGCGGUUU
This 428-nucleotide ribosomal RNA is filed under the name uncultured archaeon. Its description in RNAcentral is "bacterial SSU rRNA". It matches the Rfam family "Archaeal small subunit ribosomal RNA", at positions 474 to 903 of the family's 1478-position model. The record is from RNAcentral.